Molecule: non-coding RNA, 4591 nt
Organism: Ictidomys tridecemlineatus (thirteen-lined ground squirrel)
Lineage: Eukaryota; Metazoa; Chordata; Mammalia; Rodentia; Sciuridae
Source: RefSeq, a predicted model, not a curated record
AAUGUGUCUGAGAGGGAAUGUGUCUGGGAGGAUGUGCAGCUGAGAAGUGUGUGUGAUUGACAGGAGGGGGAGGGAGGGAGGCUGGUGGAGGGGGAGGCCAGCCUCUCUCUUCCCUGCUUCAGCCAGGAGGGCUUCUGGAAAGCCCUGCAGUCUGGAGUGGGGGACGGACAUGCAGGAGAGGGUGGACAGAACAGUGUGCCCGCUCGCGGUGCUGCUCACGGGUGGGACGUGGACUGCAUGGUGACAGAUCUGAGGAGCUGGUGGCACACAGCUAACGCCAGUUCCUGGAGGCCAGGUUCAGGGUAUCCACACAGGAGAAGCUGGGUGACACAAUGUUAUGCAGGGGCCCCACAUGUCAGGGGACAGCUCACCAGUCCUAGACACACAGAGUGAUUCAUCUGGAAAAAAGGAAGCCCACAACCACUCAGACUGUCCCAAGCCUGGAGGUUGCCCAGGGAGAACCCUUCAAACAGCCCAUUCAUUCCACCUUGAACUCAGCCCCCUCCAAUCCCACAGGGCUCUGGACUUUCAAAGUGAGAGGUUUGACUUGAAUGUUCAAGACAGGCUGCAGGAGGCUGGUGGAGAAGGGGAGGCCUCCAAUAAGUCUGAGGGGAGAAGGCUUCUGCACACAAUGGAUCACCUCUACCUGAAGGGGCCAUGCACUCUCUUCCCAAGUUCAGUUACUGUAACUCCUUCACUAGACUGGGUCUCACUGAGUUGCUUAGCACCUCGCUUUUGCUGAGGCUGGCUUUGAACCUGCGAUCCUCCUGCCUCAGCCUCCUGAGCCGCUGAGAUUACAGGUGUGCGCCACUGCACCAGCCCCUCCAUGGUUGUUUCUGAGGCCAGGAGCCCACCUCUCAAGGGCUUCGUCUUCCCACCCUAGCUGCCUCCUGCACAUGCGAAACCGCUGGGCAGAGCUGCCAUUACUACCUCUGCUUCAAAGGAAUAGGAAUAUACGGAAUUCAUGACUUGCCUAAGGCGUGGGAGUAUUAGACUUCUGUCCGUGCUCUCUUUUGGAGCUCAAACUCUGCAGACAGGAGCCUGGACACACCUGGACCCUCCGUGUGAAGGGCCAGCCUCUGGUCUCCAGAUGCUCACAGGUGAGAGAGAUGCAGGGGACUGCAAAAUGUCUGCAGGUGCUCGGACAUGCCUGGGGUUCCAGGUGAGGUGAAAUGCCAAGGGCAGUGUGCAGCCUGUUUUCCCUAAGGGGGAAAGGUGGAGAAGGCUCUGCAGGGGCUAAGACCCUCCGGUUCGGGUGCAGGUGGCUUUAAAGCAAACUCUUCUCGCCCUGCUUAGGACACAAGAAUACAGCCUCACAGCGUGUGAAUACACUCUGCAGUCUGAUCGGCUGCGUUGAGCAUGUGCAAGCAGUCCCAGCCAAGCCAUGGUCACACUUGCACUAGUAUACCUCGUGCGCACACACACACACACACACACACACACACACACACACAGUUAGUUGUUCUGCCUUUCCAGAUUUCUAACACAGGCACCAACAGGAAGAUCACACAUACUGUGGUACGUACGUUCAUGUCCCUUAAAAUUGGUAUAUUGAAAUACCAAAGUGAUGGUAUUAGGAGGUGGGGACUUCUGAAAAGUCAUUAGGUCACAGGGGCAGAGUCCUGAUGAGUGGGAUUAGAACCCUUAUAAAAUAGGCCCAAGAUGCAGGACCCAGGGAUGUGACUGGGGAGGCUGAGGCAGGAGGAUUGCAAGUUCAUAGGCCAGCCUCGGCAAGCUAGCAAGAUGCUGUUGCAAAAGAAAAUUUUGAAAAGGGGCUGGAGACGUGGCUGAGUGGCCAAGCACCUCUGGUUCAAUCCCCAGUACCACAAAAUAAAUUAAUUAAUGAAUUGAUUAAACUAAGGCCAAAGGACUGAAUUCUCAACCUUUCUACCAUCUGAAGAAGCAGCAAUGACCUGGAAAGUUGGCCAUUGCCAGACACUGAGUCUGCCAGGACCCUGACCUGGGACUUCCCAGCCUCCAAAAUGGCGAGAACUUCCUGUUGUCUAUAAGCCACCCAGUCCCCUGUGGAGAGCUUCAUUACACCUGGUCCUUUCUUGCUGGGGUAGGGGUGCCCUGAAGAGAAAUUGCCCCUUGGCAUGUGAGUGCAGAGCCGUGGUUGACUUUCCCCAUACAUCCCAACCCCACCCUGAGUCCCUCCUGUAGAGAUGUGUGGCCUGGGAGGUGAGGGGGUGUCCAGGGUAGAGGCUGGCUUUUAGGAGGGAGAGGCUAACCAGGUUGGGUCUGAGACUCCAAUAUCAGAGCCUGGUCUCGCUCCCACCCCAUCCCAUAGGACUUGCACACGGCCCUCUGCCUGGGCGAGGUGGGCUGGGCUACCCAAGGCAGAGGUGUGCUCCUAAAUCCCCCCCCCACACACACAGGAGAGCGGCCCUGGCACCUACACAGCCCACCCUCACAUGGCCGCAUCCCAAGGAAGUCCAAGGGGGAGAGGAGAGAGCCCAGGAAGGAAGGGGGUGUUGAAGGAGAAAGAGGAAGAAGAGGAGGAGGGGUGGGUGUGAUACAGGGAAGAGUAGCAGGCUGGACACAGUGCCUGCCAGGGUCGGAGCCUCGGCUCAGCCUUCUGAUAGGACAGGAUGUUACCAAUAGUUAAGGGCAAGAUUAGAACUCAGGCCUCCAGCUGUAUCUGACCAAAGGGAUGCUCCCUCGGAUCUGUCCUCUCCGUCCAAUACCACUCUAGGACUGACCGAGGCUCCUGUGUCUAAUGUAUUUGAGGUGGAGACCUCUUUGAGGAAUUUCCUGUUGCCUAGGGCCCUCCGUGGACUUCACCAAGGAUUCUGCAUUAGGAGACUCAAUGCAGAUGCUGCGAGGAUAUUUCCCAUGAAUCAGCCAAGAUGCUUGCAAGAAUUACAGACGGACGCCCAGGCUCCAGAGGGCUGAGCUCUUAGAGGGGCUAAUGACCAUGUGGCUGCCCCCUCCAGAAUUCCUCUUUCUCUCUGGACAGACCAUUACCUUCCAAUCUGCUGGCGCCCACGGCCUGCUCCCUGCACGCGCCUCUGUUCUCUGCUGGCUCCUCUCCUACCCCACUCCUCCUCCUCUUUCUCCUCUCCUUCCUCCUUUAGCCUUCUAACUUGGAAGGGCAGCUGUGGGGAGCCAGCUGCAACCUCCCCCAACACACAUAUCCUAUAUCCAGACUCCAGAACCCAGAGGAAGCAGAUGGAAGGAUGAGAGAGGAGCUCAGGCCAAACAUCCUUCUUCCCCUUCCCAGAGUUCCCCUCGGCAUCCCUGGUUUACCUCUGCUCUCGACAGGAACCCUCAGCUGAGAGAACCUUACAGGGUGACAGAAAGGACAGGCAGUGCAACUUCACUCAGUCCUUUCAUGCAACAGGUGGUUAUUGAGCAACUACUAGGUAGCAGGUGCCGAGGAGACAAGGGCGAACAAACGCAAUAGUGUCUGCUCUCACGGAGGCACCAACUCAUCAGAAGGCCCUCUUUGGGGGCCUUUUGUGCCUUCCUGCCUUGGAUGAUGUGAACAGUUGUCCUGGGCCCUGCCUAGGAGUCUGGGGACACAGGCAAGUUCAGCUGUUGCCGUGACCAUAUGCUCUCUGCAGAGCCUUCUCCACCUGCCCAGCUCCUGGGCUCUUCCUGGGGCACUGUCCACCCCCUUUCCUUCUUGCCCCACUUCCCCCUCCCUGACAGUGGCCACUGGUCUCCCAUCCUGGUGGCCACUGCAUUCCUGGAAGAGCUUUCACCAAGCUGAGCCCCAGGUCGGACCGAUUCUGGAGUCUGCAGCUGGGGCCUGGGCUCUGUGUGUUUUAAGGCUCCCCAGGUCUUUCUGCGACACUUCCAGAUGGAGAGCCCCAAAGGAGUAAGGACAAAGGCCUGAGGACCUCUGCCCUGGAGCUGUGAUGUCCAGAGGACCGGGCCUCAGGGCUUCGGAGAAAGACGGGGGACCUCAGAGUCAGGUUAGAGGAGGCAGAGCUAACGCAGUGGGUCCAGAGGUGGCCUUGACACUCACUCAGGGAGACCAGCAAGAAGCAGAGACUCUGCCUCCUCUUGAGGCCCCACCCAGAGCCCUGGGUUCCUGCAGGCUGAUUCAAGGAGAAAGUGGAGCAGAAGAGGCAUGGGGCCUCCCUGGCUUCUUUCUCUCGGUUCCUCCUUAUCUCUUGGUCUUUCAAGGUACAAUUCAAAUUUCACCUCCUCCAGAGAGCUCGCCUGAUGGCCCAGAUCACCACCGAGCCACAGGCUUCCACAAGUAUUUCCUUUUGGUUAUAGGCUCGAUGAAUCAAACUUGGAUUGAAAAGGACCUUGAAGUUGGCUGACUCAUUCAUGCAGGCCUACAGGACGUAGUGUACACAGGUAGACUCAUCUUGAAGUCAGAGGCCCAAGUGCCUGGGGCCACAUACAGUUGCCUGGUGCUCCUGGGAACACGGUGGCUCUCUUAAGUCUCUCUCCCCCUCACCCAUUUGCCUGGCUGCUGAGAGAUUGCACCUGGAGGAGCCCCUUCCUCAGAAGCUCUAGCCAGAAAACUUGCCCUCUGUGUGGAGGUGCAGGGUCCUUCAGGAGCCCAGGCUGGAAAGGACGGAGGGGCCCCUUCCUCCAUGUGUAAUACAAUAAAAACCACAUUUAAAAGUCA